This 245-nucleotide ribosomal RNA is filed under the name uncultured bacterium. RNAcentral's name for it is "partial 16S ribosomal RNA". It matches the Rfam family "Bacterial small subunit ribosomal RNA", at positions 524 to 768 of the family's 1533-position model. The record is from RNAcentral.
GACAGAGGGUGCAAACGUUGUUCGGAAUUACUGGGCGUAAAGCGCGUGUAGGCUGCCUUGUAAGUCGGAUGUGAAAGCCCCGGGCUCAACCUGGGAAGUGCAUUCGAAACUGCGAGGCUUGAGUCCUGGAGAGGAAGGCGGAAUUCUCGGUGUAGAGGUGAAAUUCGUAGAUAUCGAGAGGAACACCGGUGGCGAAGGCGGCCUUCUGGACAGUGACUGACGCUGAGACGCGAAAGCGUGGGGAG